CUAUUUGAAAUCCUUUUAUGAAUUUUAAUCAUAGCAAAUGUGUUUUAACAGUAGUCAUAAAAUCAACAUUACCACAUAUACAAAGGACAAGACACCAGAUUGGCAUACAAAAAUACCAUAUAUUAAAAUUGGGUUCAUUGGAAAAACUCAGAACUUGCUAAGACACCAUCUACAACAGAGAGAGCAAGCAAGAAUGCUUUUAAGACAUUCAUAUUUAUAAACAGCAGCUUGAUAUCCCCCUUACAAAGUCAAUAUUUGGCAACAUUUGGACAAUAUUUUCUACACACCCCAGCAGCUCAUUUAUCUGUAGAGCUAUUUGGCCCUUUAAAAGAAAAGCUCUUAAAAUAAAUAAUCCACAUAAUUAUAAAUGAAACAUGUCAAGGACUUGAGUUAGCCUCUGAGCAGCAUUAAUCUAGCCAUCUGACUGGACUACUAGUUAUCAAGAGGGCCAAGAACUCACCAGUGGUGCCGUCAGAAAGGCAGGAACCCUGGACAGCACUUGCAUGGCUUAUGUUGGGAGUUUUAACCACCCCAAGCUGAAACCAGCCUCCCCACCUGCAACUGCUAAGUGAGGCCAACAGGAACAAGUGGUGGAAUAAAAAACAUAGUAAAUGACCAUAACCAGUAUAGAAACAGAAUUAUGAGUCUUCUAAACAGUAAUAACCUACUCAAGUCAGGACACAACCACAGACAUUGUGUUCCAGGGUUAAGAGGACAUCACUAGAGUUUGUCUGGGAUGACUCAGCAACCAACCCUAGAGUAGGUUCUGAAAUGGUCUAGUGUGCUGGCAACGCAAUGGGGCCUUCUUGGACCCUCUCGUCAGCUGAUCACAUUCCCUGUAUUGAAUUUGGUUGGCCAUACUGGAGUGACAGAUUGUGCUUGGCUGUUAUCCUCACUUAUCCUGUUUCUUCCUUCAGCUGAUUUCUGCCAUAAUUGACCUUCAGCUCCUAUAUAUUUUGUUUCAGAGCUAUAAUCUCCUUAUGGAUUUCCCUCUUUUUAUGCAAGUGUUUUCUUACUCUCUGGGUAUUUCUGCCUAUCUGCUGCUAUAGACCCAACGCCACAUCUCCACCUCCACCAUACAGGAUCUACCUAAGAGUUGGGCUGUUGCUCAGCCAGGAAAAUCCAACCAGGAAUAUUCUGAAGCACAGUGUAAAACACCAGCUACCAUGUCCUCUCGCUUUUUAAAUAGAGAUGACAUAGAUAUCUCAACUUGUUCCCCUUUAAGGAGCAUCUGCCUUAUCUACCUCCUCUUACAGCCCAUGCUCCUUCACCACCAUCAUAUCCAACCAUGUACUUCGGAAUUCUCAAAAAGCAAAUGUUUCCCUUUGUAAAAAUCUUGUUAGAACAACCCAAUAACACCCCAGGGAGACCACAAAAGACUUCCACAUGGGCUACUAGCCCUCCAUCCCAAGGUGAUGUAAUUUUAGAGCAGUGUUCUAGAACAGGGAUGAUUAUAAGAGGACACCCCCCUCUCCACCCAGAAAAACAAAAAAAAUAUGUGUGGUUGCAGGCUUAAAGAGACCCUUCGGUACUUUGCUGCAAAUACUACUGAUUGUCUCUAAAAAGAUCAUAAUAUGAAUAGUAUCAAAAACCUUAGACUAGAAUAAUAAAGUUCAGCUAACGAGAUGAGUGUUUUCAAGCACCACUACAUCAUAAGUGAGAUAUAUAGUGGGAUACCCCAGGCAGUGAAUCCUGAAAAAAAAAGAAAUCGUUGGCCCAACUGUGCAAGGAAACUUGUGCAGAAAAAUCGGAGCCAUAUUGCAAGAGUUCAAUAAUGGUGCUCUGCCCAUGACCACUUGAGCAGAGCCAAAAAAAUGUCAUUUGGAAGACAGAAAUUAAAUUCCCCACCUACUAAUGUUCUUCAGUGAUCAAUGGCUUUCCAAAUCCACUUCUUCAUAUAUCUGAAAAGUCCCCAAAGCUUAGUUAUAUAACUCUCCCCAAACUAGUUGACUUGACAAAAUUGAUGUGGCCUAUAGCAUUUGUUAAGAAAUUAAUAUCUAAAUUCAACACUGUAUAACCCACGCUGGAAAAUAUGAAUAACAUUUUACUUGAUUUUUUAACUUCAAUUAGCUAAAUUAUGUGUGUCUACAUAUAUAUAACUAUAUGUAUAGAUAGAGAUACAUAUCUAUAUACAGUGAUUCAAUUUUGUCAGCAAAAUCAGCAGCUUGAAUUUCCACUUAUUUUUUAGACGUGUUUCAUGUUUUGACAAAAUUCAGCACUGAUCAUCAUCACUUUUUGAAAAAGACUAUCACUUUCAAAGCGGUUACUGAAUUAUUUUGACUGUCUCCUUCUUUGGAGUUUUAGUUUUGCUAAGAAUUACUUCAUGGGUAACGUUUUACUAAGAAAGAUGGAAAUGGUAAGGAACAGCUCCUUCUUCUAAGUCAAAGAUGACAGAUUAACUGAUAACACUUUUUGUGUGGAAACAAAAUGCUGACUAGUAGGCAGCAGCAUUUUUCAAGGGAAGAUAAAAAUUCAAACUAUUUGCAUAACUUUCCUCUCAUACCAAUAAGCUUUGGGCCUCUAAUUUAUUCAUAAGUCUAAAGAAAAACUACCAUUGGGCCAAAAAAAUUCAUCAUUUUUAAGGACAAGCUAAAGAGUCCUGCCCAUUGAUGAGUUAUAUUAAAAAAAGAAAAAAAAAAUCUAAGUUGAAGCAAAUACAUUUGGAUUCCAUUAUUUUCAGACAAUGAAAAGCACCCUAACCAAUUUAGUUGCUGCAUAGGUUUUCAAAAAAAGUGAUGGGAACUCUUCAAAUCAAAAUCUAGACUGGAAUAAAUACUAUACUAUCAAGGAGAGUCUGAUCUUUCUGUGAAAAUAUAACUCAAAUUGAGUUUUCUGCCUUCCUUUACUCACUUAAAAAGCAAUUUUAGUAACUUCAGUAACCUUCGAGUCUUUAAAUUCCAUGGGCAAUGUUUUUUUAAUGUAAAAAAAAAAGUGUCUUUGUAAAAGACUUCAGAUCUCCAAUUCUUUCUGCGAUAACUAAAAUAAAAAAAUCAAACAAGACUAAAAUAAUGUCAAAUCUCACUCUAAAAAUAGUACCUAUGUUUUAGUCUGCCAUCUGAAAAAUGAUGCCCACAUAUUCCCACCCCAAACACAAUGACAAGCUGGCCGACUUCAAGGGCAACAAAAACACUCCCUAUGAACACUGCAAAACAAGCUUGCUCUUAUAUUUCACACAUUACUAAUGCAGUGAUGAAGUUUGGGUAAGAUGCUAGAAGUGAAGAGAAAUUUCAUUAGGCCUUUUUUUUUUUUUUUUUUUUUUUUUUUCCCCUAUUAACGGUUACUUUUUGGUCACAAGACCCUAAACACAAUUUCACAGUACAGGUCAUGCAAGUCAAACAUUUUACAGCUACUGUCUAACUACUGUUUCAGGACAAUAGAUUCACAUGCAGCUAAUGAUCCCAGAAGAAGGGCUUUAUCAAGCACUCUUUAAGCUUCACUGAUCAUUCCUCGGCCUGCAGUAUGUAAGUAAUAACCCCAAAGGGCAAUUAAUGCAUUUUUACGGUCAUACUUGAGAUCAUAUAUAUACAUAUAUAUUUUUAAAAGAUCAUAUAUUUUUGUAAGCCCAGAAAGGAAAAAAAAAAAGUUUUUUUAAGCCAACUGCAUGUUACUAAACCACAAACUGUCUUUUCACCUCACUCCAUUUACUCCACUAUCACUUGGAUGCAAGUUUCCAUUGCACAAGCCUCCAGAAAUGCACUGUCCAAUAUGGUAGCCACUAGCCACAAGUGAGUGACGUUUAUUUAAAUAACUUUAAAUUAAAUAAAAGACAAAAUCCAGUUCCAUACUCAGACUAACCCCAUUUCAACUGCCCAAUAGCCAAUGUGGCUACUGUACUGGACAGCACAGAUUACAGAACACUUCCAUCAUCACAGGAAGUUCUAUUGAGCAGCGCCAAUCUAAAAGAUCCCAAGGGCUGCACCAAGACACGGUUUCACCUUCAAGGGACCCACUUUAAAGUCAUGUGCAAAAUUACACUUAAUUAUAUUCCUAAGGAAAAUACCUUAAAGCUUUCUGAUCAUAAACUAUGACUGGAGCUGAGAACCCAUUUGCCUUUUCAGCACAACUUAAGCCCCAUGUCAUUAUACAAAAAUUUUCCAAAGACACUGCUUUUUGAUAGCAUACUGGGCUCUUCUUAGCAUAUUCUGCAUUCUGUCACCUAAGUCAAGAUCACUAAAAAAGACGAAAAUUCAUGCUUCUUAUAGUUUACUAUUUACACAACACUCAUGGUCCUUUACAUCUAAAGGGGGGGGGGAAUCAAUGUUUUGCAAUUUAAAAAACUCAAUUCACAUGGUUUUCUUUAACUGCCUAUACUCAUCCCUAAAUCAACCCUUCUUUCACUUCCCAGAGAGGUAGAUGCUAACUAAAAUGAAUAUAUAAAUCUACAAAAACAAAAGAUUUACACAAUAGUUGAGCUAGUAAAGGGUAUUCAUCCACCCUGAAAAAGAUCAUAGCCUUGACAGAGAUGUCAACAGGCCUAGAAAGGAGCAAAAGGAAACCACAGUGCAGAGUUCUGGUCCCCUUUUUGCUGAAGAAUGACAAACUGCCUCGCACCUCUGUGGGUCUCAGUGGACUCAUCUUCAAAAUGAAGCCACCGGAGGUUGCUUGCAUGUCUAACUCUCUGUGCUUUCAGUUGGGAUUUUUUUUUUUUUUUCCAUUGAUGUGCAACUGUGAAUUCUGGCUGAUUAUAUCACAGGACUGUGUCACAUGGGGUAGUUGAGUUGUUAGUGUUGUGGGUAAAUGCCAAAGAGACCACAGCAAUGGAAUGCCAAAUAACAUUAAACAUCAAGUCAAUAAAAAUUCUAUCUGUCAGGCUGAGACACACACACACACGCACACGCACACACACAAAGGCAGGAAUGCACACCUUGACAUGCAGAUAC
This 4880-nucleotide long non-coding RNA is filed under the name Sus scrofa (pig). RNAcentral describes it as "lncRNA (ENSSSCG00000061814.1)". The record is from RNAcentral. Lineage: Eukaryota; Metazoa; Chordata; Mammalia; Artiodactyla; Suidae.